RNAcentral lists this ribosomal RNA (443 nucleotides) under uncultured bacterium. RNAcentral describes it as "partial 16S ribosomal RNA". It matches the Rfam family "Bacterial small subunit ribosomal RNA", at positions 338 to 795 of the family's 1533-position model. The record is from RNAcentral.
CCUACGUGUGGCAGCAGUGGGGAAUAUUGGGCAAUGGGCGCAAGCCUGACCCAGCAACGCCGCGUGAAGGAAGAAGGCUUUCGGGUUGUAAACUUCUUUUCUGAGGGACGAACAGAGUGCCGGUACCUCUGGAAUAAGCCCCGCCUACCUACGUGCCAGCAGCCGCGGAAAUCCUUAGGUGGCAAGAGUUAUCCGGUUUUAUUGGGUGUAAAGGGCGUGUAGGCGGGCAAGCAAGUCAGAUGUGAAACCUCAGGGCUCAACCCUGGGCCUGCAUUUGAAACUGUUGGUCUUGAGUGCAGGAGAGGCAAUCGGAAUUCCGUGUGUAGCGGUGAAAUGCGUAGAGAUACGGAGGAACACCAGUGGCGAAGGCGGAUGGCUGGACAGUAACUGACGGUGAGGCGCGAAAGCGUGGGGAGCAAACAGGAUUAGAUACCCGGGUAGUC